CGCCUUCAACCUUGGCCGUGCUUCCUGCGCUCUGGUGCAGCCAUGUUCCUUCUCCUUGCACUGCUCGCUGAGCUUGGAAGGCUGCACGCCCGCCUGGAUUCUGACGGGGUAUUCCUGCAGGUCACAGUUCCACGGAAGAUAAAGUCAAACGAGAGUGAAGGUUUAGAGAAGCAGUAUGAUUAUAUGGAAUGAGAAAUGAUGGCUGUAACACAGAAAAUUAUCCAGAUUAUUGACCUUACUAACACUGGAUGCUGAUGAUUUAUUACAAAGAUUUAUGUCAUGGAAACAGGACUAUCUUAUCCUACAGCCUCAUGACAUAGCAUUCUUACUUAUGUAAGCACAAUGUUCUACAUUAAUAAAGAGAUAUACAUGAAGG
Molecule: long non-coding RNA, 376 nt
Filed under: Equus asinus (donkey)
Lineage: Eukaryota; Metazoa; Chordata; Mammalia; Perissodactyla; Equidae
Description: lncRNA (ENSEASG00005023982.1)
Source: RNAcentral